GUGUCAGCCGCCGCGGUAAUACGGAGGAUGCGAGCGUUAUCCGGAUUUAUUGGGUUUAAAGGGUGUGUAGGCGGUUUAUUAAGUCAGCGGUGAAAGUUUGAGGCUCAACCUUAAAAUUGCCGUUGAAACUGGUUAACUUGAGUGUAGAUGAAGUAGGCGGAAUUAGUGGUGUAGCGGUGAAAUGCAUAGAUAUCACUAGGAACUCCGAUUGCGAAGGCAGCUUACUAAGGUACAACUGACGCUGAUGCACGAAAGCGUGGGUAUCAAACAGGAUUAGAUACCCUGGUAGUCCACGCAGUAAACGAUGAUUACUAGUUGUUUGCGAUAUGACCGUAAGUAACUAAGCGAAAGCGAUAAGUAAUCCACCUGGGGAGUACGCCGGCAACGGUGAAACUCAAAGGAAUUGACGGGGGCCCGCACAAGCGGAGGAACAUGUGGUUUAAUUCGAUGAUACGCGAGGAACCUUACCCGGGCUUGAAAUGUACAUGAUCGAAGUGGAGACACUUUUUCUAGCAAUAGCAUGUAUGUAGGUGCUGCA
This 538-nucleotide ribosomal RNA is filed under the name uncultured Dysgonomonas sp. RNAcentral's name for it is "bacterial SSU rRNA". It matches the Rfam family "Bacterial small subunit ribosomal RNA", at positions 505 to 1045 of the family's 1533-position model. Lineage: Bacteria; Pseudomonadati; Bacteroidota; Bacteroidia; Bacteroidales; Dysgonomonadaceae. The record is from RNAcentral.